This 435-nucleotide ribosomal RNA is filed under the name uncultured bacterium. RNAcentral's name for it is "partial 16S ribosomal RNA". It matches the Rfam family "Bacterial small subunit ribosomal RNA", at positions 28 to 507 of the family's 1533-position model. The record is from RNAcentral.
GAUGAACGCUGGCGGUAUGCUUAACACAUGCAAGUCGAACGGACUCUUCGGAGUUAGUGGCGGACGGGUGAGUAACGCGUGAGAAUCUGGCUUUGGGUUCGGGACAACCACUGGAAACGGUGGCUAAUACCGGAUGUGCCGAGAGGUAAAAGAGAAAUUGCCUGAAGAUGAGCUCGCGUCUGAUUAGCUAGUUGGUGAGGUAAAGGCUCACCAAGGCAGCGAUCAGUAGCUGGUCUGAGAGGAUGACCAGCCACACUGGGACUGAGACACGGCCCAGACUCCUACGGGAGGCAGCAGUGGGGCAUUUUCCGCAAUGGGCGAAAGCCUGACGGAGCAAUACCGCGUGAGGGAAGAAGGCUCUUGGGUUGUAAACCUCUUUUCUUAGGGAAGAACAAAAUGACGGUACCUAAGGAAUCAGCAUCGGCUAACUACGUG